RNAcentral lists this ribosomal RNA (1160 nucleotides) under Glycaspis brimblecombei. RNAcentral describes it as "large subunit ribosomal RNA". Lineage: Eukaryota; Metazoa; Arthropoda; Insecta; Hemiptera; Aphalaridae. The record is from RNAcentral.
UGUAAAGUUAAGUGCUGAAAGCCGUUAGUAUAAAAUGUAUAUUGAAAACGAACUGUAAAGGGAUGCAGAAAGAAAAUAGUAUAAUAAGUUUAAUUAUUACCUUUUGUAUCAGGGUUAAUUUAAUUUUCUAGAUUAAAUCUUUUUUCCCGAAAAAAAAAGAUUUAAAAUAAGUAUUUUUGUUAAUGUUGCAUAAUUAUAAAGAAGUUUAUUUUAGGUUUAAUAAAAAUUCGAUUUUUUAUAUCUGGUUAUUUAAUUGUUUAAUUUAAUUAAUUAUUUAAUCUGAAACAUUAUAUUGUGAUUGAAUUUAACUGUGUUAAGGAUAAUCUUGACAUAAAAUGAAUAUUUGUAUUACAAUAAUUACUUAUAAUGUAAGUUUAGAAAUAAUUAAUUUAAAGUGUAAUAAUGAAUUUAAGUAAAACAAAUUUAAAUAAUAGUGUAAUUUCUUAUCGAAUUAAAUUAUGGCGAGGAAUUGUAUAUUGUCAACAAUAAUGGUUAAAUUAGUAUAUAAUAAAAAUGUAAGUUAAGAAUUCGGCAAUUUAAAUUUUCGCCUGUUUUUCAAAAACAUCUCUGGAAGAGAGAUAUUUUUGGUAUAACCUGCUCAAUGCGUAAGUAAAUAGCUGCAGUAUUUUGACUGUACAAAGGUAGCAUAAUCAUUAGUUUUUUAAUUGAAGACUGGAAUGAAUGGUUUGACGAAAAAUUAUCUUUCUUACUUAUAUUUGGUUGAAAUUAAUGUUUAUGUCAAAAUUCAUAGGUAUAAUAAAGGGACGAGAAGACCCUAUAGAAUUUUAUGUUCUAAAUUGAGAUUAAGAAUUUUUUAUUGGGGUGAUAGAAAUUAAACAAUUUCUUGUAACGAUAUUUAUAAAUAGAUUUAAGAUCCUAAAUUGAGAUAGUAAGACAAAAUUACCUUAGGGAUAACAGCAUAAUUUUUUCUGAAAGUUCUAAUUAAUGAAAAAGUUUAUGACCUCGAUGUUGAAUUAAAUUUCCUACAGGGGCAGUUUUUUGUAGGUCAAAGUCUGUUCGACUUAUUAAAUUUACAUGAUUUGAGUUCAAACCGGUGUGAGCCAGGUUGGUUUCUAUCUUUUAAAAAUUAAUUUAAUUUAGUACGAAAGGGUUAAUUAAAUACAUUAUUAUUGUAAAAAUUGAAUUAUUUUAAAUUUCUA